AAAGUCGUAACAAGGUUUCCGUAGGUGAACCUGCGGAAGGAUCAUCAUUGAAUCCAUUCUACAAACCCUGUGAACCGUAUGCAAAAGAGUGUUUGGCAGGAAGGCGCCUGGCAGCUAGCCUAGCGCCGUGUCUCUCUGCGGCUCAGCUUUACCACUGUUGCUGCGGAUGAGCGACUGCCAUCUGCUCGCCUUUUAUAAAAACGCUUUAAACAAAUCAUACUGAUAAUAAAACAAAUAAACUAAAACAACUUUCAACAAUGGAUCUCUUGGCUCUC
RNAcentral lists this unclassified non-coding RNA (275 nucleotides) under Basidiomycota sp. RNAcentral describes it as "partial contains small subunit ribosomal RNA, internal transcribed spacer 1, and 5.8S ribosomal RNA". The stretch from base 1 to 47 matches the Rfam family "Eukaryotic small subunit ribosomal RNA", at positions 1785 to 1831 of the family's 1831-position model. The record is from RNAcentral. Lineage: Eukaryota; Fungi; Basidiomycota.